AUUGUGUUCCCCUGUCCCCUCAGCAUUGCUCCUCUUCUUCUACUCCAUCAUGUCCCCCUGUCUUCCUCAUCAAUGCUUCCUUUUACCUGAUCCAUCAUGUUCCCCUGUCCUGCCCAGCAAUCCUCCCCUUCUCUGCCCUUAAUCAUUCUGGUAUUCUUACCUCUUACACGUCUUCUGUCCUUCCAGCAUUGCUCCUCUUAUCCUGGUCCUUCAUAUUCUCUGGCCCCCUCUUCCCCAGCAUUGCUCCCCUUUUCCUGACCCAUCCGGUUCCCCUGUCCUCCCCUCCACUUUCCCCCCGUGCAGCAUUGCUCCUAUUACCCUAGUCCACCAUGUUCUCAUGUCCUCCCCAGAAUUGCUUCCCUUCUCUUGGUCCAUCAUAUCCCACUUUCCUCCUGUGUUGUUCCCCUUCUCCUGGUCUAUCAUGUUCCCCUGUCCUCCCCAGUAUUGCUCACCUCUUAAUUGUUGAUACAUAUUACGGGGUUCCUGCCCCCAUUGAUUUCAAUUGGAGUAAGCAAAUGUUGCUCUGGGAUAGCUGUGGUUGGUUACCUGGAAUAAAUCAAAAUCAUCGAGAUUUACUGACACAAGGUAACGGGCUGAUUUGACAUAAAAUUGCAUUCUGUAUGAAGACCUUUGAGAAUUCUUGAGGGGUGUUCUUUUCUAUUUAUGAAUAUAUCUAUAGUUAGUUACGUAAACAAACUCAUGCAUGUUAUGUGUCAUGAUUCAUUCAUUAGAACAAUAAUUCCUGGAUUAGUUAAUUGAUUAUUGGCUAAUGGUGGCUGAGAAUGAUAAUGUAUGCACGCCUUUCUUGCACAGGGUAAUUAUCAUUACAUUGAAUUAGGAUACAGCUCCCUCCAAAGCCAGUUAGAUGUUGCCUACAGGCUGAGCUGGGUGUUACACUUUGCCCUCCAUCUGGGCAGAUCUGGACCCUGUUCUUGGCCAGCACCCAGUAAACACUUUACUGUACCCUCGAUAGAAGAAUAGGGAUGGUGUCCUGUGCCCACUGCAAACCUACUUCCUCUGGUACAGCAGUAGAAACCUCACCUUCCCUUCUUAUUAGUUGGUUUUUAGUUAAUAUUUUCACUAUACAGAACCCAGCACACUCUAAUAUAGAACCCUUUUCUUUUCCAGAAUGCACUAAGAACCUUGGGGAUUUGGUGCACAGCUCACAAGCAGUAACAUAGAG
Molecule: non-coding RNA, 1183 nt
Organism: Pelobates cultripes (western spadefoot toad)
Lineage: Eukaryota; Metazoa; Chordata; Amphibia; Anura; Pelobatidae
Source: the annotation of a GenBank genome assembly